RNAcentral lists this ribosomal RNA (553 nucleotides) under uncultured bacterium. Its description in RNAcentral is "partial 16S ribosomal RNA". It matches the Rfam family "Bacterial small subunit ribosomal RNA", at positions 355 to 900 of the family's 1533-position model. The record is from RNAcentral.
UAGGGAAUCUUCCACAAUGGACGCAAGUCUGAUGGAGCAACGCCGCGUGAGUGAAGAAGGUUUUCGGACCGUAAAGCUCUGUUGUUGGUGAAGAAGGAUAGAGGUAGUAACUGGCCUUUAUUUGACGGUAAUCAACCAGAAAGUCACGGCUAACUACGUGCCAGCAGCCGCGGUAAUACGUAGGUGGCAAGCGUUGUCCGGAUUUAUUGGGCGUAAAGCGAGCGCAGGCGGAAGAAUAAGUCUGAUGUGAAAGCCCUCGGCUUAACCGAGGAAUUGCAUCGGAAACUGUUUUCUUGAGUGCAGAAGAGGAGAGUAGAACUCCAUGUGUAGCGGUGGAAUGCGUAGAUAUAUGGAAGAAUACCAGUGGCGAAGGCGGCUCUCUGGUCUGCAACUGACGCUGAGGCUCGAAAGCAUGGGUAGCGAACAGGAUUAGAUACCCUGGUAGUCCAUGCCGUAAACGAUGAGUGCUAAGUGUUGGGAGGCUUCCGCCUCUCAGUGCUGCAGCUAACGCAUUAAGCACUCCGCCUGGGGAGUACGACCGCAAGGUUGAAAC